CUACCAUGGCUUUCACGGGUAACGGAGGAUUAGGGUUCGAUUCCGGAGAGGGAGCCUGAGAAACGGCUACCACUUCCACGGAAGGCAGCAGGCGCGUAAAUUACCCAAUCCUGAUUCAGGGAGGUAGUGACAAGAAAUAACGGGUCGGGGUUUUGCCCCGGGACUGCAAUGAGACGAAUUUAGACCCCUUAUCGAUCAACAAUUGGAGGGCAAGUCUGGUGCCAGCAGCCGCGGUAAUUCCAGCUCCAAUAGCGUAUAUUAAAGUUGUUGCAGUUAAAAAGCUCGUAGUUGGAUUUCUGGUAGUGGGUUCGAGCGCACAUGCGUGAUGUCUCAUGCCCGUUGCCAUCCUUCUGUUAACCUGUCAGGGCACUCAUUUGUCAGUUAGGGGCACAGAUAUUUUACCUUGAGAAAAUUAGAGUGUUUCAGGCAGGCUUGUGCCCGGAUACAUUAGCAUGGAAUAAUGGAAUAGGACUUUAGCCUCUUCUGUUGGUCUGAGGGGUUGAAGUAAUGAUUAAUAGGGAUAGUUGGGGGCAUUAGUACUUAACUGUCAGAGGUGAAAUUCUCGGAUUUGUUAAAGACUAACUUAUGCGAAAGCAUUUGCCAAGGAUGUUUUCAUUAAUCAA
Molecule: ribosomal RNA, 623 nt
Filed under: Ciliophora sp.
Lineage: Eukaryota; Ciliophora
Description: SSU rRNA
Rfam family: Eukaryotic small subunit ribosomal RNA
Source: RNAcentral